AGGCUGCCCAAGCUCUCUUGUACGCCACAUUUCUGCACAGUGUGCUCAUACUACUUCUGCAGUUGGAUUACAGAAGGUUCCCUGCUGGCUCGUGUGCUUGGACUCUUGGUCCUUAGCUGGUGGCCUUGCUUUGGCUGGAUGUGGACCAUAUAGGAGCACACCCAGUCAUCAGGAACUAUGCAUUCAGUGGUUUUCCUUGAGAACGGCUAUCCGUAGUCUCAGACUGAAACAUGGAGAAUGGACGAGGACCCUCCUCCUGAACAUCCGGCUGACUUUUGCCAACCCAUUCCCAGCCAGGAUCCUUCCUGUCUUCUGAAGAGUGAGGGAGGGUCAUUCCCCGGCUGUGCAUGCUGGACCAAGAACCUGGAGUGUGGAAGUCCCAAAAUUAGCCCUCAGCCAUGACCUUGCCCGCAUGGCCAGGCUGUGGUGUGGACCUCUGGAGUGGACUUCCCUGCUUCCCCCAUCCGGGCUGCUAGAGAGAUACGGGAGCUUCAGACCCAUGUGAUAGCGAGGGAAGUAGCCGCUGCGGCCAUAUGGCUUCCAGGGAAGACUGUGCUCCCCUCCUCAGGGAAGACUGUGCUCCCCUCCUCAGGGAAGGCUGUGUUCCCCUCCUCAGGGAAGACUGUGCUCCCCUCCUCAGGGAAGACUGUAUUCCCCUCCUCAGGGAAGACUGUGCUCCCCUCCUCAGGGAAAACUGUGUUCCCCUCCUCAGGGAAGACUGUGCUCCCCUCCUCAGGGAAGACUGUGCUCCACUCCUCAGAGAAGACUGUGCUCCACUCCUCAGGGAAGACUGUGCUUCACUCCUCAGGGAAGACUGUGCUCCACUCCUCAGAGAAGACUGUGCUCCACUCCUCAGAGAAGACUAUGCUCCACUCCUCAGAGAAGACUGUGCUCCACUCCUCAGAGAAGACUGUGCUCCACUCCUCAGGGAAGUGCUCAUGAGAAUCCCACAGACACUGGAAGGGCUGGGGCAGUUCGAAGGUCAGAGGCUCAUUCAGCGUGUGAACAGAGUGAAGUGUACGACUAUAAAUUUUAGGAAAAUGUAUCAUUAAGUAAAUUGACCUUUUGUCA
Non-coding RNA from Myodes glareolus (Bank vole), 1071 nucleotides. The record is from RefSeq and is a predicted model, not a curated record. Lineage: Eukaryota; Metazoa; Chordata; Mammalia; Rodentia; Cricetidae.